RNAcentral lists this transfer RNA (72 nucleotides) under Volvox carteri f. nagariensis. RNAcentral describes it as "tRNA-Pro (AGG) (tRNA-Pro-AGG-1-1)". It matches the Rfam family "tRNA". Rfam says of the family: Transfer RNA (tRNA) molecules are approximately 80 nucleotides in length. Their secondary structure includes four short double-helical elements and three loops (D, anti-codon, and T loops). The record is from Rfam by way of RNAcentral. Lineage: Eukaryota; Viridiplantae; Chlorophyta; Chlorophyceae; Chlamydomonadales; Volvocaceae.
GGGAGUUUGGUCUAGUGGUAUGAUUCUCGCUUAGGGUGCGAGAGGUCGUGGGUUCAAUUCCCACAACUCCCC